AGAGUUUGAUCAUGGCUCAGGAUGAACGCUGGCGGUAUGCCUAACACAUGCAAGUCGAACGAUGUCUUCGGACAUAGUGGCGGACGGGUGAGUAACGCGUGAGAAUCUGCCUCUAGGAUGGGGAUAACGGUUGGAAACGACCGCUAACACCCAAUAUGCCGUAAGGUGAAAAAUUUAUUGCCUGGAGAGGAGCUCGCGUCUGAUUAGCUAGUUGGUGGGGUAAGAGCUCACCAAGGCUUCGAUCAGUAGCUGGUCUGAGAGGAUGAGCAGCCACACUGGGACUGAGACACGGCCCAGACUCCUACGGGAGGCAGCAGUGGGGAAUUUUCCGCAAUGGGCGAAAGCCUGACGGAGCAAUACCGCGUGAGGGAGGAAUGCCUUUGGGUUGUAAACCUCUUUUCUCAGGGAAGAAGAUCUGACGGUACCUGAGGAAUAAGUAUCGGCUAACUCCGUGCCAGCAGCCGCGGUAAUACGGAGGAUGCAAGCGUUAUCCGGAAUCAUUGGGCGUAAAGCGUCCGCAGGUGGUUUCCAAAGUCUGCUGUUAAAGACUGGAGCUCAACUCCGGAACGGCGGUGGAAACUUGGAAACUAGAGUUCGGUAGGGGUAGCAGGAAUUCCCAGUGUAGCGGUGAAAUGCGUAGAUAUUGGGAAGAACAUCGGUGGCGAAGGCGUGCUACUGGACCGUAACUGACACUCAGGGACGAAAGCUAGGGGAGCGAAAGGGAUUAGAUACCCCUGUAGUCCUAGCUGUAAACGAUGGAAACUAGGUGUGGCUUG
RNAcentral lists this ribosomal RNA (776 nucleotides) under uncultured marine microorganism. RNAcentral describes it as "bacterial SSU rRNA". It matches the Rfam family "Bacterial small subunit ribosomal RNA", at positions 8 to 829 of the family's 1533-position model. The record is from RNAcentral.